Molecule: long non-coding RNA, 815 nt
Organism: Magnolia sinica
Lineage: Eukaryota; Viridiplantae; Streptophyta; Magnoliopsida; Magnoliales; Magnoliaceae
Exons: 2
Source: RefSeq, a predicted model, not a curated record
UGUAAGGCUCCAUGAGAACUUUAUGGCAUUGGGUUUGGAUUACAAAACUGAUAAUUCUGCCCCCAUUUUUAAAUGCACUAGGAUGACUUCACUCCGGAGGAACUUCAUACUUGGAGUGUGUUUUAAGAAACAUGGCCAGCAAAACCAUUAAAGUAUGGUUUGUUUAUUGUCCGAAAUGUCAGAAGCUUCUAACAGAGUUGAUCAAACAUCUGGUGAGCAAAGGGUAAGCUGAUGAAUGGUUAGGAAAUAGCAGGGAAAAGGCUUUCCAAGAAUUUUGGGUAAGGGAAUGAAGAAUUCAAAAAUGAGGUUUUAGUGAUUGCAAAACUUCAACACAUGAAUCUUGUUAGGAUUAUCAAAUUGGCAGUUAUCUGCCAAUUGUUUUAUUUGGUGUAGGCCACAUGAUGAGUGGACAAGCCUGAUUUUUAUGUUAAGCAUCUUCGUGGUGGGGGCCAAACCUUUUGGACGAGUGGGAUGUUGUACACACUUGACACUUUGGAAUUUAUGCUCUAGGUGGAUGGUAAAUUAUUUUCUAACUAGUCGUGUGUGAGUCUGCCUCCUUAAAUUAUUAUAUUUUAAAUGUUAAAUAUUACCGAAGCUUAGCAUUCAAGACUCAAACCUUUUUUCAUCGUAGAUUCUUUUCAUUAACUAAUAGUCGGGUACAAAAUGCAACUUCUAUAGUUUUCUUUUAUUUAUUUAUUUAUAUGCAUGUUGGUUUUAUGGAAGUUGAAAUCUUAAAAAUGUUGGUAUAGCUGUUGCAGGAAAAAACCUUGAAAAGUUAAUAAUGAUUUUGAGGCUUCAUUGUUGUGUAGUCUAUG